ACCCCGGAAGUCACGUACCCACUCUGUAGGUGCCCCGGGGCACAGGCAAGCGGACGAGCCAGUUAUCCCUCAGAGCUCCUGCUGCCUCGCCCGCUUUCUCUCGGAAACGUGAAGUGUGGCCUCAGCUGAAAGUGAGGUGGGCCUCAUUCAAUCAGUUGAAUUCUUCAAGAGAGAAAAACUGAAGUCCCUUAGAAGGAAAGAGUUCUGCCUUCAGACUGUCUUUGAACUUAAGACUGUAGCGUCGACUCCUGCCGGAAUUUCCAGCCUGCUGGCCAGCUCUGCAGAUUCACACUUGCCAGCCUCCACAAUCGCAGCUGAGGCGGAGGAACCCUAAGGGCUCAUUGAGAUCAUGGAUUUGCCCUUCUAUGCAUUGAUGGAGCACCUGCUGCCCACAGCGUCUGUAUUUGGUGCUGGGAUGCUGAGGACACUGAGAUCUUCAAACAGAGGCUGCCACUCUAAGCAAACAGAUCCCGAGCCCUGGACUCUGAAGCUUGGGCCCAGUUCUCCUUUUCUCCGGGUUUCAGAUCCCACUGUGAAGUGAGGGGGCCCUUCUGAUUCAGGACCCGGGGAAGCCAGGGGCAUGAGCAUCGGUGCCUCUUCUCUAUUUCAAGGACCCUUCUGGGUGUAAAGUUCUCUGAGAUGCCUUACAUGGAUUCCCACCACUGCAAGAUAACCAUCGUAUGUAAAGUGUUAUGACCAGCAGAGCGUAAUUGAAGUGCAUUCCAGAGGGAAAGACAGCGGCUCAGAAAAGCGUGUGUAGCUGUGACAUAGUUCACAUUCCACAACCACUGAAGGGUUGAAACAUGAACUUGAAAGUAAAUAGCUUUGUGGAGAUUCACAUCGAGGAGCACUGUGCAGUCAUUCAGAAGAAUAAACUCCAGCUCUGCCCGGUGAUGGCAGGGGUGUUAACAAUGCAGUAUUGAGCUCAAAAAGUAACUUGCUAAAAGAACACAUGCCCCCACAUGAAAACGCGAAAGGUGUCAGAGGUAGCGUUUCUACCUGUGGGCCUGCGGAGAGCUACGUGGAUCUUCCCCUCCCAACAGUCGAGAAGACUCGAGGCCGCCUCUGAGCACCUCCCCUGGCUCAGCGGAGUACAGUGCACCGUCCCCACAGCUCCUUCCUGAGCUUUCGGUCCACUUUAAAUCAAUAGCAGAAGAAUGUAUUUGAUUAUCAGGCUGAUUUUACUCUCUGUGCUCUAAUGAAGAGCCCAUAUUAUGCAAAUGCAUAUGAUGAUGACAGCAGGUUUUUAAACUGCAAAUUCAUUCUCCAAGCUCAAAAUAAACUUUUGUUGUGGGGUGGGGGACGGUGUACUAUAACACAAGGAAGAUGGGAAAACUCAUUUCAGAAAGAAUGCAUCCCAGGAAAAAAAAUAAUUAAGCUCCUUAGAAUUAAUUUGAAGGCUUUCGUAUUUAUCUUUUGUGACUCAUUGUUGAAAGUUAGAAGAACCAAUCAACCCUAUUCCUUCAUUCUGUCAAAUUAAA
RNAcentral lists this long non-coding RNA (1481 nucleotides) under Homo sapiens (human). RNAcentral's name for it is "epigenetically induced MYC interacting lncRNA 1". Lineage: Eukaryota; Metazoa; Chordata; Mammalia; Primates; Hominidae. The record is from RNAcentral.